UACGUAGGGACCAAGCGUUGUCCGGAAUCAUUGGGCGUAAAGAGCGUGUAGGCGGCUUGUUAAGUCUUGCGUGAAAUCUCGGGGCUCAACCCCGAGCGGUCGUGAGAAACUGGCAGGCUAGAGUGCGGGAGAGGAGAGUGGAAUUCCUGGUGUAGCGGUGAAAUGCGCAGAUAUCAGGAGGAACACCAAUGGCGAAGGCAGCUCGCUGGGACGUGACUGACGCUGAGACGCGAAAGCGUGGGGAGCAAACAGG
RNAcentral lists this ribosomal RNA (253 nucleotides) under uncultured bacterium. RNAcentral describes it as "partial 16S ribosomal RNA". It matches the Rfam family "Bacterial small subunit ribosomal RNA", at positions 524 to 776 of the family's 1533-position model. The record is from RNAcentral.